This is a long non-coding RNA of Oryzias melastigma (Indian medaka), 403 nucleotides long. RefSeq lists it as uncharacterized. The transcript is spliced from 2 exons. The record is from RefSeq and is a predicted model, not a curated record. NCBI's taxonomy places the organism in Eukaryota, Metazoa, Chordata, Actinopteri, Beloniformes, Adrianichthyidae.
UGCUGUUCUGUUAAAAAGAAGUGCUGCUCCAUCCUGCUGUGAUGUUUUCCUCUGACUUAUCCAGAGGGGGAGGUUCCAGAGAUGGACUGGAGGUUCACACGAUGCUGUUUGAUGGGAAACCUCAAGGACUCCUGCAUACCAAUAUGACAGAAUUAUGAUCUCCCGUGCCACCUGGGUCCAACACUCCACAACUACAGUGUGGUUCUACACUAAAGACCUCGACCACCUGUCAAAUACAUCCACACCACCUCUUGGCGCUUCAUUCUGCCACUCUUGGUUUCAGCUCACUCAUCUCUCCAAGAUGUGAACAGCUUCCAGUUUGCUACAUCCUACCUCAACAAGAACUCCCCUCCAGCUUCAGUCCAAAAGAGAACCAGCGAAAAAUAAAAGCUUUCUCUCAUCA